This 891-nucleotide unclassified non-coding RNA is filed under the name Hevea brasiliensis (rubber tree). Lineage: Eukaryota; Viridiplantae; Streptophyta; Magnoliopsida; Malpighiales; Euphorbiaceae. The record is from RNAcentral.
GGUCAGAUUUCACCUUCAUCUAUGUAUGACAACCAAUCUAAUGUAAGUUUUAUAUAAUGAGAUGGUAGAUUUCACUAAGACCAAUUUUUCUUUUCAGAUAGAAUAUUCAUCUAAACCAAUGGUCCCUAUUCGGGUAUGAAGAAUUUAGAUGUAUGGAAAACAGGAAUCUCUUACAAUUAAUUGAUCCUAUUCGGUUAGAAAUUAAAUAGAUCAUACACUAUUUAUAUAGGGUCCUUCCUCAAGUAGCCUAGUCUUAAUGUGAUAUACAAUACUCUUUUUAAAAAUCAAUUAUGCAUUCAAAAGAGAAAUUAAUUCUAGCUUCUCUGUUUAAACAUCACUAGAACAAUCAAGCAAUCAAAUAUGCGCAUAGUAUUGAGAUCAAUUAUUGCAUAACCUUAUUAAAAUAAAAUUAAUGCAUUGAAUUAAAAAGAAAUCAUAACACAGGUUCAAGAUCCAUCAAUCCCUAACAAAAGGGUCUACCUCAUCCUAGAGAUGGUAGAACAUGAGAAAAGAAGAAAAUACAUAAUGAAAACUUAAAGAACAAUAAUAAAGAUCAAACUCUGGUUGUAGGUGCAUAAUCUAGCUUCAAUCUAUAGAAAUCUUAUCCAUUUUGCUCCCAAUUGUGUGGCUAGAGUGGCUAGAGACCUCUUCUUAGACUCUCCCUUCAAAGUCUUUCCCCCAUUGAUUUUCCUCUUCUUUCCUCCUUAAAUAAGGUAGUCUCUGCCUUUGUCUGUGAUCGACCUCUUGGACAGAUUUUGAUCUAUGAAAACAUACUUCCAAAUCCAAUAGAUUUGCAAUUUCUUUCCAACCCAAAUAGGAGUCUUUCUCACCAAAAAUACAUCCAAUCAUCCUGUUCUUUCACUUUCUUUCUCAACCAAAAGGGACUUACAC